Zea mays is the source of this 912-nucleotide RNA transcript. It is a transcript of the gene named glutathione S-transferase 1, with no coding region annotated. The transcript is spliced from 8 exons. The record is from RefSeq and is a predicted model, not a curated record. NCBI's taxonomy places the organism in Eukaryota, Viridiplantae, Streptophyta, Magnoliopsida, Poales, Poaceae.
AGUCUACUUAUGCACCCCUAUUUUUCAGGCUGAAGGUGCUUCCACAGAGCAGGCAUUAUCAUCAGCUCUAACAAGUAUUAUGGAUGCGCUGAAGAGUACUGACUGGAAUACAAGGAAGGAUGCCUCACUAGCUCUUUCAAGUAUUGUGGUCAGUUCUGGGUAUUUGAUUACCUCUUUCAGAACUUCCUGCCUUCGCUCACUUGAGUGUAGUAAAUUUGACAAGGUAAAACUGGUACGUGACACCAUUAUACAUGCAGUUCAGCUGUGGAAAGCUAUUCCAGGGUCUCAUACUCCUGAACCAUCAGAAGCUGGACCAUCAACAUAAGGUUGCAAAGUAGACAUCCCCUAUUUCUAUAGUUCAUGCUUCAUGGUCACACUUCAAAGAACCCCCCCACGAGCGCUUCCCCAGUGGAUGCGUGCCCGGACCGGCGGUGGCUCCCUCCUCUCUGGCUGCUAUGGCAGGGGACCCUGCAGCGGCGUGAAACACACUUGUAGAUUGCAAGCAUUGUAGCUUCUGGUAUUCAACCUCUCCAUAACCUCACAGUGUUGAGGUUCAUUGACCAGAAGGUUGGUGCAUGGGAGAGUGUGUUGUGGACUCAACAACAAAUCGAGAGAGGUUUCACAGCUAUUGAGAACCUGAUACAACUAAAAGGAUGCGCCGGGAAGUAUGCAACAGGAGAUGAAGUCCAAUUGCUUCAAAAUCAAGUCCGACUUCCAAGAAGAGCAAGGAUGACGAUGAUUCUGAUGAGGACGAGACAGAUGAAACCAAUUGCCUUUUAAUGGUCUAUGUUAUCAUUCAAAAUUACCUUAUGUUGACACUAUGUAUAUAUGUUAUUCACAAUAACAGAGCCAUUCAUGCUGUUGGGCGCUUGGAUGAACUAUCUUUUCUUCAACAAAGAUGGAGCUUAUGCA